GAUCCAUUCCCUUUGACGAUCCCUAGGUGGAGAUGGGGCAUGAGGAUCCUCCAGGGGAAAAGCUCACUACCACUGGGCAACAACCCUAGGUCAGGAGGUUCUGUCAGGAUACUUUCCUGGUCCCAGAUAGGAAGAUAAAGUCUCAAAAACAACCACCACACGUCAAGGAGAACAUGGACAACUGUCACAUCAGUGACAUUGAUCACAUGGGCAAAUCAUUCUGUUCCAUCUGGUCCCCAAAGUCUCUCUUAAAGCCUUACAGAAGAACUUUGCCAAUCAUUUACAUACUUCGGGAUGGCUUGGGAUGCCAUGGGAUAUAAUACGACAAGUGAGAGCUCUUCAUUGUUCCUAUCUGCCAAAUCAUUACACUUCCUACAAGCAGUGCAGAGAACUGAGUCUUCAGCAGGUCCAAGAAAUUUGAACACAUUGAAGGAGGUCAGCCUUCCUACCUGAAGAUCAACAUGCUUGGCACUCUAGCACUUUAGGA
Cercocebus atys (sooty mangabey) is the source of this 487-nucleotide long non-coding RNA. RefSeq lists it as uncharacterized. The transcript is spliced from 3 exons. NCBI's taxonomy places the organism in Eukaryota, Metazoa, Chordata, Mammalia, Primates, Cercopithecidae. The record is from RefSeq and is a predicted model, not a curated record.